RNAcentral lists this ribosomal RNA (305 nucleotides) under uncultured bacterium. Its description in RNAcentral is "bacterial SSU rRNA". It matches the Rfam family "Bacterial small subunit ribosomal RNA", at positions 337 to 659 of the family's 1533-position model. The record is from RNAcentral.
GCCUACGGGGGGCAGCAGUAGGGAAUAUUGGACAAUGGGGGAAACCCUGAUCCAGCAAUGCCGCGUGAGUGAUGAAGGCCUUAGGGUUGUAAAGCUCUUUUACCCGGGAUGAUAAUGACAGUACCGGGAGAAUAAGCUCCGGCUAACUCCGUGCCAGCAGCCGCGGUAAUACGGAGGGAGCUAGCGUUGUUCGGAAUUACUGGGCGUAAAGCGCACGUAGGCGGCUAUUCAAGUCAGAGGUGAAAGCCCGGGGCUCGACCCCGGAACUGCCUUUGAAACUAGAUAGCUUGAAUCCAGGAGAGGUG